Molecule: ribosomal RNA, 501 nt
Filed under: uncultured bacterium
Lineage: Bacteria
Description: partial 16S ribosomal RNA
Rfam family: Bacterial small subunit ribosomal RNA
Source: RNAcentral
AUUGAACGCUGGCGGCAGGCUUAACACAUGCAAGUCGAGCGGGGGAAGGUAGCUUGCUACCGGACCUAGCGGCGGACGGGUGAGUAAUGCUUAGGAAUCUGCCUAUUAGUGGGGGACAACAUCUCGAAAGGGAUGCUAAUACCGCAUACGUCCUACGGGAGAAAGCAGGGGAUCUUCGGACCUUGCGCUAAUAGAUGAGCCUAAGUCGGAUUAGCUAGUUGGUGGGGUAAAGGCCUACCAAGGCGACGAUCUGUAGCGGGUCUGAGAGGAUGGUCCGCCACACUGGGACUGAGACACGGGCCGGACUCCUACGGGAGGCAGCAGUGGGGAAUAUUGGACAAUGGGGGGAACCCUGAUCCAGCCAUGCCGCGUGUGUGAAGAAGGCCUUAUGGUUGUAAAGCACUUUAAGCGAGGAGGAGGCUACUUUAGUUAAUACCUAGGGAUAGUGGACGUUACUCGCAGAAUAAGCACCGGCUAACUCUGUGCCAGCCGCCGCAGUAA